GAAAGAAUCAGUUAAAUAGUAUUCAUUUUCUCCAAAAUACUUCCUCAUCUCAGCUCCUCAAAAGAAUUUCUAUGCUAUUGUUAAAGAUAUUUUGAAUUAGUGGUCAUAAAGUACUUUUAAAACAUCCCUGUGAAGGGCUUUAGAGCUGCACCCUGUAGCAUCGGGAGGAUUCAUUCCUGUUCAAACAAGAGAACAGAGAACAAGACUGGCUGUAGCAGUUGCCUGCUUCAAAGAUUCAAGUCGAGUGGAAUCAGAAAAGAACAGGCAGCGCAGAUGGUUAAAACUGGAUGUGGAAAGGACAAUGCAAUUAAUAACAGAUGGCACGGGAUGACCACGUCCUUGAGAGAACGCCUUAUUGGCACCUCCUGCUAAUUGUAUCACAUAUAACACAACUAAAAGCAUAAUAAAUCUGAACUGGGGGACAUUUUAUGCAAGAGCUCUUCUCCUUUUCCAGACGGUAAAUUGCUCAGCUCUUGAAAUAUCUAUAACCUUGUGACACCCAACUUGCAUUAGCUUAAUUGCCUUUUUUCCUCUCCCUCCCCCUUCUACCCUCCCUUCUCUUCUCCUCUCCCUCUUCCCCUCUCUCCCUCUACCUCUCUUUCUCUCCCCCUCUCUCACGCAGUGUUUUUCCUCUUGGGUAUAAAGGAACAGUUGGGCUGUUGUUUUUCUACCUAGUUUAGUGCUGCAUCUAAACCAGCUAUAUUUCCCUGCUUGUAUAGAGUAUGUUCAGGGAUUGAUAUGCUGGCUUUACUGGGAAAUUAUUCUUCUAGAGGGCUUUAAAACACUUUCCUUAACAUUAAUGUUGGGGAAGAAAAUGUAUGUCUAACUGCUGAUGUAAAUUAAUAAAACUGUAGAGGAGCGUUUUAAUUAAAUGGAAAAGCACGUGCGCUUCAGAGGCCAUAUGCACUAACAUACACACGCACAUCGGCAUGGGCUUUCUUCUUUUUUGCCAAAUGGGAACAACUCCCAAUAUACUGUAGGAGUAAAAAGGAUUGAGUUUUCACUUACUUUGUAACUUGAUUUGGUGUUAUUGCCAAUUUGUAAAGUGAAAGUUUUA
RNAcentral lists this long non-coding RNA (1057 nucleotides) under Equus asinus (donkey). Its description in RNAcentral is "lncRNA (ENSEASG00005036950.1)". The record is from RNAcentral. Lineage: Eukaryota; Metazoa; Chordata; Mammalia; Perissodactyla; Equidae.